CAUUAAUGUGCUGAUUUAGAAAUGUAAUGAGUUAAAGAUUUUUAAAAAGACCUGUUACUUUUGCUUGUUCUACUUUAUAUUAAGACUCAGGGGAGAACUUUCUAGAUGUCAGAUGUAUUUGUGAUUUAUUAAUUUUUUAGGGCUUUAUUCUGGAUAGGUCUCUUUCAUCUGGAAGUAUCUCUGGGUCCAUUUGCAAGGUUUAUUACUCAGCUGACGGGUUUUGUGGCAGAAAGGUGUUUCUCUUGUACAGUUGUGCUUUGCCUAGCCUGUUGCUUUCUGUAGUGAUACAGAACAGAGGUGUCUGUACAAGGGUUGAACGUGAAGAAAUUCCCACUUGGCAAAUGAUCACAGAUGAUGAAUGAGAUAAAGCAUCCGGUGGUAGCAUCCCAGCUUCUGGGGCUAGAUGUAAUGAGAAAUCACCCAGUCCUUUUCUACCCAAAAGAAAGCAUUUUAGUUUAAAUUUGGAAAAGGCGGACUUUAUUUCCACCAGCAAAUACAGUAUGGGGAUGGAGAUAUAUAUUGAUUAGGGUAGUGGCUAGAUUAUAGGGAAUCGUGUUGAUGCCUGUAAAGAACUUGUUUUUUGUUUUGUUUGUUUUUUUUUUAAUGGACAAUAGCCUAAUUCAAAUGAGGUUUUCCUUAUAAACUAAAAGAGUACAUCUGUGCAAAUCAGUUUUUAUAUUUCUUUUUUAUUAAAAUAUUUUGAUUUGAAGAAUUAUUAUUGCUUCAUUUUUGUUAAGUUUCAUUUAAGAUGGGAGUUCAGGCUAGCCAGGAUUUUAAUUUGAAUUUCCAAUGUUUUACAUUAAGUAAUAUUUUAUCACUUGUAAACGUUCGAGGACUAGCAUUUGUAAUCAGCGUUCUACGUGACAUUAGCCAUGCAUACUCUACCCGUCUUUAAGUCAUGUGCAGCCUUAGAGAAGAAGGUAAGUGCUGGCCGCAGGGUGUAGAGUAUCUCUGAAGCCGAUGAACAUGUUUUUGACGUAAUGUUUUAGCUUUUACAUCCGUGAUGGGAGGUGGGUGAAAUCGGUUGUGGUCAUCUUCUAGUCGACGUCGGGGUGCUCACUGUCUAGUUACUUGGUUUUCGAAAGAAGGAGAGGUGAUGGGUUCUGCGUCUUGCGUUGUAAGCUUUUCUUCUUUAGCGGACGCCUGAGCUUGGUGAGCAUGUACGCGUGUGUACGCAUGCAGGGGAGCAGCGCUGACAAACGUAAUGUUUGCUGGAUAUUUGGAAAUUAGCUUGCAGUUUUCGGAAAUUUCAGUGGACUCACGGGAAGCAGAUGGACAACGAAUUCCACUUUUUUCCCUCCCCCAGCUUUUUAUUGUUUUUAGAGAAGCCCAGCUUCGUAGGGGUGCCCCUGGCUGGUGAUGUGAUGUGUGCCGUGCUGCAGGUUGGAAAGGCUGCUAUAAAUCGAUACAGAUUUUUUUUUACGUAGUUAGAAGAACAGUUGGUGGCGUGCUGCUUUCUUUGUAUCCACUGGAACUUUGGAGUCGUUCACUAGGCUGUGCUGCUUUUCAUGGCUCUGCACGGAAAGGGAGUGUCGACGCUCAGCUGGCUCUGCAGCACCGUUAGGGAGGGAAUGAAAUGCGGAAGUCCCAGAAAACCCGAUGGAAGAGUCGGGCUCUGGGACGGUGCUUUUUAAGCUGAGUGUUGAAAAGGGGGCUGACAGCAUUUCGGAAAGUGAACCGAUCUGUUCAUCAAUAGUCCCAAGUUUUUCUGAAUUGUUCUAUUUGAAUACUUUUAAUGACUUGCUUUCUUCCUCCAUCUUUUCCGUGUCUAAUUUGUAAGAGGAUUUACAGUUAGUUGUUUAUGACACAAAUUUUCUUAUGUGCUAACAAAAAAAAAAAAAAAAGAGAGAGAGAGAGAGAAAGAAAUGCCCCGUUUGGUAUUUUCUUUCAGUUUUUGUAACUAACUCACAGGUAAAUAAGAUGCUGAUUGAUGCAAUAACAUUUCACUAAGCUUUUUUUUAGAGAACAAACUUUCCUGGUUUUGUGGUGAGUAUAUGGAAGUGUCAGUUACUGAAUGAAGGACAAACCAUAGAUCAGCUGGUGUACCUAGCCACCACCCUCCCGCACCUGCUGCCAACCUGUCAAAACGAAAACUGGCUCUAUUUAAAUGGAUUUUAGCAUGCCACUUUUCUUUUAACAGGCAUCGUUUGUGUAGAAAGUUUGCGUACAGGCUUGACUAACGCGUGUUUAGCUAUGUUAUACACAAUUAAGGUCAUCACAGUUUGGGGGCAAGAUUUGUUGGUAUUCUCCAUGGCUCUAAUAUCAUGUAUUUUUAGUAUUACCUCUUUUAAGUAGUUUAGUUCUCCCACUUGGCUAAGUUGAUACUGUAGGUACCAUGAAACUAUAUUGUGAUUAUAUCUGAAUUUGCUGUUGGGUAAUUUGUAGAUUUAUGCUGCAUUUUUGAUUCAUGUGUCAGUGAUACAAAUCUUGUCUUUUAAAGGCAACCCAUCGUAUGUGUAACCUGUAGCUUAUAAUUUGGAACUAAGUUGUGGGUCUUCCCUUUACAUUUUAAAAAAUGUGGUAUACGAUUCUACCGUAUGAUUAAGUCUUCGUUUAUUAUAUAUGUGACUAUUAAGAAGGAACUUCUCCAGUCGUCCUUUCUUAAUCUUUCUGAUUAUAUUGGGAUAGAUUUUGUAAUAUUUUCUGUAUGUGUGAUCUUUUCUUUAGCAUGUUUGUUAUGCAGUUCAGUUUCCAUUAUGAGAAACCAAGGUAUUUCCAGUAUCCUUAUGCUAGAUCUGUAAUUUGAUAUCUCAGUAAGUUGUCCUCCCACCGUUGUUUGAACUGCUAUCUGUCUGUAUUUGCAUGUCAUUAAAUUCUUGGUGAUCUUCAGGAGCUAACGCAGUUAUGUUUUCCAGCUGACUUGGAUCCUAAGAUCAUCCACAGUAAAGCAAAUACCUCAUAAAUUAAUACUUGUCCUCUUGUUGUCUUGGGGCCAUGACCAGUGAUAUUUACUUAUCACUUAAUUCCCUCAGACCUAAGCUCAGAACAAAUCUUUCUUAAUAAUGUCCACUCACUGCUCUCCCUCUUAAUCAACAGCCUUUCCCCAUUGAGUUGCAUUAGCUUCCAUACCUUGAUAUUACCAUUAUUAACAAUUCUUAGCAUCUAGUAGAUAUUAAAAGUAGCUUGCAGAACUCUCUCUCCUUGGAAUAUUAUCACUUAAAAUUUGAGCACAUUGGGUAGUUUUUCCACCUCUAAUAUUGAUAUGAAAGGAAGCCAGCAUUUAAGCAGAAUACACAGUGGAAGGCCAGAAAAAUGCUACAACUUACUAACGCUUUAUUUUAUAAACAUUGAGUAGAUCUCAAUGUCUAUUUUAAGAUAACCCCUCCAAAUAUUAUUUAAUACACUUUUUUUUGUUGUCUUUUGUUACAUUUUCAUUGCUUGUGCCAUUUACUGUUUAUCUUUUUAUUACACUUAUUUUUAUAGCUGUCUUGGCUCCCCUGUUAGAAUAGGAUCUUUUCAGAGUAUUUAUGAUGUUUAUUCAGUAGUAUUUUCCUAAUAAGAUUUUAGGUAAAAACUUCCAACCACGUUCUUCCUCCAGUUUCAGAAUUUUGUUUUCAUUGCUUAAGGGAUUUUUUCCAAGGUAUCAAAUUGAUAUCAGUAGAGCCUAUGUUCUCUGAUGCUCCUGAGACUAAAGGAUUAUAAUGAGGUAUCUGUAUUAGCAGGGUGGGUUUUUCCUUAAAACUGUUUUAUUAUAAAAUGACAUUUGACUUGAACCUGGUAGCCUUAAACUUCUAGAGAAGAAGUGGGCACUUUCGGAUAAUUGAGCUAAAAAUAGUGUGAAAACAUUCUUUUCUUAGUAAUACAGGUUUUUUAAUUGUAAAAAUAAAUAAAUUGACGGGAACGAUAAUAAUAAUUUCAGUAAGUGCGGCACAGAUAUGUUGUUAAUAAAAUGUGUAUAAACAUGGAUACAGGGAAGUAAACAAACAAAAGGUUUGAUUUUCUCCUUCCAAGUAAACAGUGUUUUCCCCUCCAGGGAUCUGAAGAGCUGUCCUUCUCAGGUUGGCAGUCAGUGAUCUGGUUUCUUCUUCGCAGAGGCCUCCCACCAGUUUGUGUUUCAGAUAGUAGGCCCGUUAUUUGGUUUGCCUCAGAUGCAGAAUAAGAUCAGCCCCAUUCUAACAGACUUUGAGAAGGCCCAUCAGGUCAUUAAAAAUCUCCUUCUGACCCUUUCUUCUUUAAAUAGGAAAUAUCUAAAGAGGUCGACCUAAAAAGGAAUUUUUGUAUCUUUCAGAGUUUACUAAAAAACCCUAAAUGUCGCGUGGAACAGUGCUUAUGGCACCUUUGUUGAAGUUUGCAAUUAGAAGGGAAUAUCGAGGUUUAGAUAAAACACAUGUCUUUUGGCCCUUUGUGAAAGGAAGGAGGUAGUAAAUGCCGGUUUUUCUUUGAAAUAGGGGGUGUUAAACAGGAUAUUGGAAGCCUGAAAGGGUAUGGUUGGAAAACUGUUAUUACCAAGAAUAUUCUUUGGGGGUUAGGUAUUAGCAACAGAGCCUACAAUGAUCUGCCUUCCCUGAAAAAGAAUACCCUGUGUGUGUUUGUUUUUUAAAUCUUUAAUGGCACUUACGUUGGAUAGUGGUAAAAGGUCGUGUACUUUGACAGCAUAUAUGAAUAUUGAUGAUAUGUUAAUAGGGACAUUUUAAGUGUUGUAGAUUUGAUAACACAGUUCCUGUGAACAAUCGGAAACUGUUAGAAAAAGCUAGGUGAAGCGUUUUUUAACUGGGUUUUGCUUUUCACUAAGUUUUCAACCCAAUUGAAAACACAAAUUGUUAAAGUGUUCUUAACCUGUUAGGUGGCAGGUUUUUGCAAAAGUUGAAAUCUACCAGGUUAGAAUUAGAUGUUUGGCUGCUGAAUGAACUCUUCCCAAACUUUUUUUACUUGUAUCUUGAGCUCGAUUUAAAUGGGUUUCAGUAAAAGGUUAAGAGGAUAGCUGUCUUCCGUUGAUUGAUCCUUCUCAAAUCAUUCUGAACAUUUAAAAAAUUGUAAGUUGUUGUCACUUUAUUUCAGUAUUGAAGCACUGAUAAUUCCUGUGUGUAGCUGGCGACAUCAGCUGUUUGUGAGUGUUUCUAAAUGUUAGUAGAGUUCGUGGAGUUGGGGAGUUAGGGAAGAGGUGACCGGUGAGCAAUCAUGGAAGGGAGCAGGAAGUUCUGUGAUGGAUGGAGCCUUGUCAGGUAGAGUAUCUGAAGAUACCCCUUCAUCAGUGGCAUAGUUUCCAAACUGAAGGUACAGACACAUUUUGAUAUCUUGGCAAAGUUUUAAGUGGAACACGCAAUAGUUGGAAUUCUUACGUAGGAUUUACCAUCUUCUCAAAAAUAAUUUUAGUAACUGGUCUAUUCCAUAUGGAGACCUUAAUUCUUUUUGGAUUAAGGUUGAGAGAAACACGUGAAGACCUUACUUGAAAGUUCGAAUUUAGGAACUUAGGAAAAGUGGUAGUGACUUUGACAAAUGUUAUUUUCCAACAUGGCUCAUUUCUUUAAGAUGUGAUGUUCUAUAAUUUUAUCCCUUAGACUACAUUUGUGAUAUUGGCAGUCAUUUUGAAAAUAGAGGAUAAUACUUGAACAAGGCAAGAAGUAGUAGGAAGCGGGAAAGUAGGUUUCUCCUUCUUUCAAAACAAUCUUCCACUUAAAUGUUUGUUCUGUAAAUGAAUACCCAAUAAAACCUCACCAGUUUGGAUUUCUUCCAGGUAAAAGCAGGUUAAAUAUAUGGAAAGUUUGAAUAAAUUAAUAUUUAAAAAGAACUAGAGUUUGCUUUUAAAUAACUGAAGUGUUUGUGUGCAAAGUGUUUCUAAAUUGAGAUCUUCAGCCCUGUUGAAAUAAGUGGAUAAUUCUAAAUUUAUUAUAGCUGAGAUAUUUGCUUAGUGGCAAUAUGUUAUUUUAAAAGAUUUCGUUUAAUUUUUAAAAACACUGUAAGCAUACCCCCUGCAAACUUGUUCACAUAACAUUCUAAAGGUUUCCGUUUAAAGUAUGGGGGAAAUGAAUUUCAACCCAUUUUAUGGGACUGUCAGUUCUAAAAAAAUUAAUGAAAGAGGACUAUAAAAAAUAGACACUGGACAAAAUUGGAGAUGAAGAGAGACUGAAACAUAACUGAUUUGCAGGAUAUUGGUUUUGAUAAUAGAAAGAUAACUAUGAUCUAUAGUUGAUAAAUGAGGCUCAUUAAGUAAGGGAUGAAAAAUGCAGAUGUUCCUGGCUGAUAGAAAAGUCAGCAUACAGGAUUUGCCCUAACAAAUUAGCGAUGGGAAGGUUUUGAGCCAGCUUGCUGCUCUUCAGAUGACCUGGGGGAGGCUGUGGAGCCUUCUCUGUGGCCCCACAGGCUGGGCGCAUACAACUCCCAGGUGUGUCCACAAAGAGCCACCGAACCACACCUGGACACAUGAGCCUCUCCGACAGAUGAGCUGUCCACAAGAGGGAGAGCAGUCGUGUUUGUCUUCAGUACAAAGCACGGAAAAACGGCAUGUGGGAAAUUCUUGCAUGGGGGCUUGGGUAGGACAGGUGGUCAAGCCAAGCCGCACAACAACUUCGGGUUUUAAUUUUAGUUUUUAUGCCAGGACUGACGUGCAAAGGUACCUUUUCUCAUUCGACCCUGCCGAAGGCAGGCGUGUUGAACUAGAAAGCCUCCUUCCUCCUUUCUUCAGGGUGCUGGUACCCAGAGGGGUCAGUGGGCUUCCCCCAGUUCUGCAGCCAUGGCCAGGGUAAGGGGUUGAAUGCGUUUUACUUUGUGCUAGCCAAGUUAGGUGGGAAAUAGAUUUUAAUUUACAAAUUUCCUCUUUGUAGGUAACUGAAGGCAUACAUGUAGGUUAUAUAAUAAGAGCUCUAUAAGCAGCAGGAGCUCAUAGUAGCGUUUGUGGACUGGUUAAUUGCUUUUAUUUUUCUUUUCGAAUGGAAGUAACUAUUUUUGAUAUUAACCAUCAGCUUGGGAGAGGAAAUAAAUACAUGUAGAGAGCAAAAUUUUUUAUUCUUCCCUCACAAUGUAGGGUUUUAGAAGUGUCUCUCUCUUCCUCAUCUUUUUCUUUUGCCUUCUUUCUCUAAAUCGUUGUAAAAUAACUGAAUGGUCUUGUUUUCUUUUGUUUGGGUCAAGAAAUUUUAGCUGAAAAUUGUUACUGUGUGAAAGAAGAUUAUUGACUCAACAAGCCUUCAAUUUUCCGUGAAUAACACUCCCACCCCCUAGCUUCAGGAACACGCCGUGCAUGCAUUCUAUUUUAAAAUACAGACUGUAAUUUAAAACAGGCAGUUUGAUGCCCCACUGAACUUUGUUUAAGCCUGGAAUAAAAGAGGGGGAAAAAAAGCUUUAAGCUACAAAAAAGUGACUAAGCUUUCUCAACCACUUUUCUUCAUAAUGCAUUCUAUUUAAGAAAAAAAAAAAAAAAAAGCUGUCAGGUACUAUUGUUGUCUCCUUCUACAGGACCUAAAUUUUAUCCAAUGUUAGAUUGUGGUGUGUGUGCCUUUUCACUUUAUUUCAUUAUCAAGCUAUCGUUUGAAUUUUUUAAGUGUUCAGAGCAGUGGUCCUGUGCAGUGGAAUCUGUGUGCAUACAUUUGUGCAUUUUGUCCCUGUUCAGUGCAUGUGAGAACAUUAAUUCAAAAAUUAAAUAUAUAAUUUUUAGCAUUCAGUUAUUGAUAGCUAAUUUCCUAGAGUUCUCAGAUUUAUAUAGUACCUGAUUAUUAGACCAGAAAGAUAGUAAAUAAUAUUAUGGCUAAAUAUUUAGAUCAGAUUAUUAUAAAAAUGAUUAGCUGGGAGUCGUUUAAAUCAUUUGCCCUUUUUUUUCCCCUCCCAGAAACAAAAUGAGCAGCUUAUGAUGACUCAUAUGGAAGGAAUGAUGACUUUAUUGUGAUAAAGUAAUAUAUUUUGGCCUGGAUACCUGUUCUAAUGAUGAUGGUGAAUGGCAAACAGGACUAAAUCUUUGUCAAAGUUCUGGCUCGCGUAUGCCCUUCAGUAAUGACGUCUCCAGCAAUGGUUUCCCUCCCAUUUUUGGGUGUGAUUUGCUUUUUUGUUUUUUUUUAAUGUUUAUUCAUUUUUUGAGAGAGAGAGAGACAGACAGAGCUUGAGUGGGGGAGGGGCAGAGAGAGAGAGAGGGAGACCUAGAAUCUGAAGCAGGCUCCAGGCUCUUGAGCUGUCAGCGCAGAUCCCAACGUGGGGCUCGAACUCAGGAACCAUGAGAUCGUGACCCAGCCAAAGCUGGACACUUAACCAACUGAGCCACCCCGGCGCCCUGGGUGCCAUUUGCUUUUGAACAUACUUAGGGAUUUGGAGUUGCCUGAUUGAGUCCAUAGCUUUAUUAUGCAGGUUAUGGGAGAGCCACAGGUCUUCUUGUGGAGUCUGUCUCUAACUUCUCCGAGAUUGCAGAGGGCUCCCUCUCCCUGCUGUGGGAUCAGUUUGGUACUUUGACAUAUUUGAGUGUAGGGAAGUCUUGGGAGAAGGAGAAAGGUUUAUCUUGAAAAGUUGAGAAGUACUUGUACCGGGUAUCUUUAUGACCACCUGGUAUAAAGUGGGAGGUAGGAAAAAGAAACAAAAAGGAAGCCGCAGGACAAUGAAAUCUUAUCUUUGUAAUGCAAAGUCUAAUGCCUUUCCCCACUGGAUCAAUGGGAACCCAGUGGAGACCAUUGUCUGAACCAAAACAAUCAGCAGUUGGUUUUAAUUUCAUGCUGGUGUAAGGACGACCCUGAUGGCCUGUAUCUGAGGACUCCAGUCACUUCUGACACUCCAGGUUUACAUCUGUGUACUAAAAAGUAACUGAGUAAGCACCCUGUGCUUUUUAAACUGAGAUUUAUCACUAAUGGAAAUAUUAGCAACCCAGGGACAUGAAAACCACCAUUUGUUCUUGAUGAACCCAAGUCAGUUUAAUGAAAAAUGUCCCUUGCAUUUUGUGCCCCCUCCCCCCUUCCCUCCCCCCUUCCCUCCCUCCUUCCCUCCCGUCUCCCUCCUUCUCUCUGGAGCUCCCUGGUUUGAUCUGGGUAGAGUGGUAUGUCACAAGUCUUCCUUUUACUUGAUAUUUUAUUACUAUCUUUGUCAAAGCAGAGUGGUGUCCCCUGAGACAAUGGUACAUAAGCUGUGCCUGGUCUACAGGUAAAUGUCUUCUCUUAAAGUCCAGAAUGAGCGAGCACAGCAGUAUCCUGCUCCCAUCUUAGACUUGUAUCCUGAUACUGAUAAUUUUUUUUUUCAAAAAUUUCUCAUGUAAGGUAGGGAUCUUUCAUCAGUUUUUAUUUUCACCAUGGGUGUGGGUGGUUGAGAAGUACAGUGAUUUAGUUAACACCUUCUAAUGACCCCAAAAGUAUGUGAUUGGUCUUUUGUAAUUAUCUGUAUCUGGAGAAAAUUUGGCUUCAAAAUAAUAAUAAUUAUGUGUAACAAUUUAUUGAGCACCAUUUUUAAAAGUCUUGGUUUACAUAAAUAAAACUUUCAGUUAACUAACACUGGAAACUACUAGUAAAAGAAUAGCUAUGCCCAGAGUCAGGGGUCUUAGUGAAUAUCGUAGGCGUGAGUUACAUGAACUUUAAAGACAUGCCCUUCUUGACAUGUAUUUUGUCUUCUCAAAGCCAGAUCCCACCCCAUCUUCUAUUUUUGAAAGUCUGGUACUUUCAGGUUACCUAGACAAGUGAAUUGUUCCCUGCCUUUUAUUUAUGCAAAGCCUUUAUUUUCAAAAUGCCUUCAUUACCACUGGAGGCAGGGAGACGACUUAAGAGGUUAGUGUAUUAUCUCGCUAAUGAGGUUGAGUCAGAUUAUUAAAAAGUGAUGGCAGUGAGAAUGCAGAGGAGAAAAUUGUUGAAAUAAAGGGAGGGAUGAAUGAUAGAUGCUUUUAAGGUUUUUAAGCUGAGUGGCCAGGAGAUGACAAACACAGGGGUGAUGUGGUGGUGGGAGUUGGUUUAGGGAGAAAAGAAUAACCCAGAGAUUUUAUGAGAUUUUAUGAAUAAAUCUGCUGGAAUUCUAAAACUCCUAAAAGAAAACACUUCAUCUUUGUUACCAAAAGCCUUAUUUUUUGUAUAGUUCUUUUAUAUAAGAGUUAAAAUGUCAUAAAUAGAUACUGAUGUUGAAAGAAUGGUAGUGGUGGCUAUAACUGUACAUUUCACUAAAAUUCUCGGAGAUGAUUUGAAGAAUAUUGGAACAGAGUUUGUGUAAACAACUCAGCAGAUUGUACCAGAGCGUUGCUAGCUCUAACAUGGAGUAAGACAGAGUGCCAUCUCAAAAAUAGAUGAAACUAUAUAUAAUUCAGUUAGGACUCAUGGCUGGUCCCAUUGCCUUUGUUUUUAGGAGAAUCCAGUUUAUAUCCUAAUAUGCUCCUUGGGUGGGGCCAGGUGACUUUAUUUGGCUUUGUUUGGCUUACUUUGGAAUGAUUUAGACUUUGUUCUGGUUGCAUUUCAUUCUGGAGGGGGCAUCCCUUAGUUUCAUGUAUCUCGUUAUGAUUUCUCCUCUUCUGAAACUUAUUUUGAGUAUGUGCAUUUAUGAGUCUACUAUACAAAUUUCACGUUUUUA
Long non-coding RNA from Leopardus geoffroyi (Geoffroy's cat), 10449 nucleotides. RefSeq lists it as uncharacterized. The record is from RefSeq and is a predicted model, not a curated record. The transcript is spliced from 2 exons. Lineage: Eukaryota; Metazoa; Chordata; Mammalia; Carnivora; Felidae.